Molecule: transfer RNA, 73 nt
Filed under: Propionibacteriaceae bacterium
Lineage: Bacteria; Bacillati; Actinomycetota; Actinomycetes; Propionibacteriales; Propionibacteriaceae
Description: tRNA-Glu
Rfam family: tRNA
About the family: Transfer RNA (tRNA) molecules are approximately 80 nucleotides in length. Their secondary structure includes four short double-helical elements and three loops (D, anti-codon, and T loops). Further hydrogen bonds mediate the characteristic L-shaped molecular structure. tRNAs have two regions of fundamental functional importance: the anti-codon, which is responsible for specific mRNA codon recognition, and the 3' end, to which the tRNAs corresponding amino acid is attached (by aminoacyl-tRNA synthetases). tRNAs cope with the degeneracy of the genetic code in two manners: having more than one tRNA (with a specific anti-codon) for a particular amino acid; and 'wobble' base-pairing, i.e. permitting non-standard base-pairing at the 3rd anti-codon position.
Source: RNAcentral
GUCCCCAUCGUCUAGCGGUCUAGGACGCUGGCCUUUCACGCCAGCAACACGGGUUCGAACCCCGUUGGGGAUG